This is a long non-coding RNA of Ornithodoros turicata, 693 nucleotides long. RefSeq lists it as uncharacterized. Lineage: Eukaryota; Metazoa; Arthropoda; Arachnida; Ixodida; Argasidae. The record is from RefSeq and is a predicted model, not a curated record. The transcript has 2 exons.
UGACGUACUCUAAAGAACCGCUUAGGCAAUGCUGACAGAGCUAGAACGAGUGUCUACUCGCAGUUUCAUAAGAGCGUGUCACAGACCAGCUAGACCGCUGAGGUAAUUGCUAGUUGUGGCAGCCCGGGAUCGAAAGAACCGACUGUCAGGUUAUUCGUUUCGCGCAUCUGACUAUAGCAGUGCAGGCGAUGCUGCUGCCACAAGCCCCGAAAGCGAAGUGACGAAGUAGCAACACCAAGAGAGGUGCGAGACGACGUAGACAGAAAUGAACUAGAGUUUCUGUGUGGAGCGAAACGUCUUGUGGUCAGUGCGUGCUUCUGUGCACGCUGUACAACUUUUGGCAAUGGCUCCGGGACUAAGCAAUGGCUGCUCUGUGGAACAACAAGAAAUGGUACUGAAAUGACUGAAUGCGGGUAUUGUGGAUGUUUGCCGGUUUCCAAUGAAGUCACACAGAAACAGUUGUCACAGAACAGCGCAUCACACACGGGCCGCCACACAGUCCGAAGCACAAGAAGGCAGUGACAGAUUUCACGCCAUGCCAGCUUCGCGCCCAGAAAAGCGGCUUUUUAUUGCUGAGAGCAGUCCAGUGCUUACGGCCUGUGCGAUCUGUGCGAUUUUUUCAAUAAUAUUUUUUGAUAGCGCUGUAGCUAAGCAAGAUGCAUCACUGAAUGAAGAGAGGUUUUGUGUCUUCGG